CACGGUGGGGGCAAGCGUUGUUCGGAAUUACUGGGCGUAAAGGGCUCGUAGGUGGCCAACUAAGUCAGACGUGAAAUCCCUCGGCUUAACCGGGGAACUGCGUCCGAUACUGGAUGGCUUGAGUUUGGGAGAGGGAUGCGGAAUUCCAGGUGUAGCGGUGAAAUGCGUAGAUAUCAGGAAGAACACCCGUGGCGAAGGCGGCUCUCUGGGACGGUACUGACGCUGAGGCGCGAAAGCCAGGGGGGCAAACGGG
This 253-nucleotide ribosomal RNA is filed under the name uncultured bacterium. Its description in RNAcentral is "partial 16S ribosomal RNA". It matches the Rfam family "Bacterial small subunit ribosomal RNA", at positions 524 to 776 of the family's 1533-position model. The record is from RNAcentral.